This 906-nucleotide ribosomal RNA is filed under the name Ecnolagria sp. COL159. RNAcentral's name for it is "SSU rRNA". It matches the Rfam family "Eukaryotic small subunit ribosomal RNA", at positions 48 to 894 of the family's 1831-position model. The record is from RNAcentral. Lineage: Eukaryota; Metazoa; Arthropoda; Insecta; Coleoptera; Tenebrionidae.
GCCAUGCAUGUCUCAGUACAAGCCAAAUUAAGGUGAAACCGCGAAAGGCUCAUUAAAUCAGUUAUGGUUCCUUAGAUCGUACCCACAUUUACUUGGAUAACUGUGGUAAUUCUAGAGCUAAUACAUGCAAACAGAGCUCCAACCAGAGAUGGAAGGAGCGCUUUUAUUAGAUCAAAACCAAUCGGUGGUGGUUUUACAAUCAUCAUCGUAUAAUUUGGUGACUCUGAAUAACUUUAAGCUGAUCGCACGGUCUCGCACCGGCGACGCAUCUUUCAAAUGUCUGCCUUAUCAACUUUCGAUGGUAGGUUCUGCGCCUACCAUGGUUGUAACGGGUAACGGGGAAUCAGGGUUCGAUUCCGGAGAGGGAGCCUGAGAAACGGCUACCACAUCCAAGGAAGGCAGCAGGCGCGCAAAUUACCCACUCCCGGCACGGGGAGGUAGUGACGAAAAAUAACGAUACGGGACUCAUCCGAGGCCCCGUAAUCGGAAUGAGUACACUCUAAACCCUUUAACGAGGAUCAAUUGGAGGGCAAGUCUGGUGCCAGCAGCCGCGGUAAUUCCAGCUCCAAUAGCGUAUAUUAAAGUUGUUGCGGUUAAAAAGCUCGUAGUCGAAUCUGUGUUUCGCGCCGACGGUUCAUCGUUCGCGGUGUCAACUGUCGUGCCGCGAAACGUCCUGCCGGUGGGCUUAGCUCGCAAGGGCGGCCCAACUCAAUCCCGCCGCGGUGCUCUUCAUUGAGUGUCGAGGAGGGCCGGCACGUUUACUUUGAACAAAUUAGAGUGCUUAAAGCAGGCUAAAAUUUUGCCUGAAUACUGUGUGCAUGGAAUAAUGGAAUAGGACCUCGGUUCUAUUUUGUUGGUUUUCGGAACCCCGAGGUAAUGAUUAAUAGGAACGGAUGGGGGCAUUCG